AGAUUGAACGCUGGCGGCAGGCCUAACACAUGCAAGUCGAGCGGUAGAGAGGUGCUUGCACCUCUUGAGAGCGGCGGACGGGUGAGUAAAGCCUAGGAAUCUGCCUGGUAGCGGGGGAUAACGCUCGGAAACGGACGCUAAUACCGCAUACGUCCUACGGGAGAAAGCAGGGGACCUUCGGGCCUUGCGCUAUCAGAUGAGCCUAGGUCGGAUUAGCUAGUUGGUGAGGUAAUGGCUCACCAAGGCGACGAUCCGUAACUGGUCUGAGAGGACGAUCAGUCACACUGGAACUGGGACACGGUCCAGACUCCUACGGGAGGCAGCAGUGGGAAUAUUGGACAAUGGGCGAAAGCCUGAUCCAGCCAUGCCGCGUGUGUGAAGAAA
Molecule: ribosomal RNA, 384 nt
Filed under: uncultured soil bacterium
Lineage: Bacteria
Description: bacterial SSU rRNA
Rfam family: Bacterial small subunit ribosomal RNA
Source: RNAcentral